Molecule: ribosomal RNA, 579 nt
Filed under: uncultured bacterium
Lineage: Bacteria
Description: bacterial SSU rRNA
Rfam family: Bacterial small subunit ribosomal RNA
Source: RNAcentral
ACGGGUGAGUAAUGUCUGGGAAACUGCCUGAUGGAGGGGGAUAACUACUGGAAACGGUAGCUAAUACCGCAUAAUGUCUACGGACCAAAGUGGGGGACCUUCGGGCCUCAUGCCAUCAGAUGUGCCCAGAUGGGAUUAGCUAGUAGGUGGGGUAAUGGCUCACCUAGGCGACGAUCCCUAGCUGGUCUGAGAGGAUGACCAGCCACACUGGAACUGAGACACGGUCCAGACUCCUACGGGAGGCAGCAGUGGGGAAUAUUGCACAAUGGGCGCAAGCCUGAUGCAGCCAUGCCGCGUGUGUGAAGAAGGCCUUCGGGUUGUAAAGCACUUUCAGCGAGGAGGAAGGGUUCAGUGUUAAUAGCACUGUGCAUUGACGUUACUCGCAGAAGAAGCACCGGCUAACUCCGUGCCAGCAGCCGCGGUAAUACGGAGGGUGCAAGCGUUAAUCGGAGUUACUGGGCGUAAAGCGCACGCAGGCGGUUUGUUAAGUCAGAUGUGAAAUCCCCGCGCUUAACGUGGGAACUGCAUUUGAAACUGGCAAGCUAGAGUCUUGUAGAGGGGGGUAGAAUUCCAGGUGUA